Molecule: ribosomal RNA, 468 nt
Filed under: uncultured bacterium
Lineage: Bacteria
Description: partial 16S ribosomal RNA
Rfam family: Bacterial small subunit ribosomal RNA
Source: RNAcentral
GAUGAACGCUGGCGGCGUGCUUAACACAUGCAAGUCGAACGGAAAGGCCAGUGCUUGCACUGGUACUCGAGUGGCGAACGGGUGAGUAACACGUGGGUGAUCUGCCCUGCACUUCGUGAUAAGCCUGGGAAACUGGUUCUAAUACCGGAUAGGACAAUGGGUUGGAUGCGGUUGUUGAAAGUUUUUUCGGUGUGGGAUGAGGUCGCGGCCUAUCAGCUUGAGUGUGGGGUAGUGGCCUACCAAGGCGUCGACGGGUAGCCGGCCUGAGAGGGUGUACGGCCAGACCAGGCCUGUACGAGGGGCCGCACUCCUACGGGAGGCAGCAGUGGGGAAUACUGCACCCUGGCCGGCCGCGUGAUGCAGCGACGCCGCGUGAGUGAUGACGGCCUUCGGGUUGUAAACUCCUUUCGAUAGGGACGACGCGUAUUUGUGACGGUACCUGGAGAAGAAGCACCGGCUAACUACGUG